Molecule: ribosomal RNA, 486 nt
Filed under: uncultured bacterium
Lineage: Bacteria
Description: partial 16S ribosomal RNA
Rfam family: Bacterial small subunit ribosomal RNA
Source: RNAcentral
GAUGAACGCUGGCGGCGUGCCUAAUACAUGCAAGUCGAACGCUGGAGAUCUAGCUUGCUAGCUCGAAGGAGUGGCGAACGGGUGAGUAAUACAUAAGCAACCUACCCACGAAGACUGGGAUAAUCUCUGGAAACGGGGACUAAUACCGGAUAGGUAAUCGGAAGGCAUCUUCUGGUUAUUAAAGGUUAAAAACACUGGUGGAUGGGCUUAUGGCGCAUUAGUUAGUUGGUGAGGUAACGGCCCACCAAGACGAUGAUGCGUAGCCGGCCUGAGAGGGUGAACGGCCACAUUGGGACUGAGACACGGCCCAGACUCCUACAGGAGGCAGCAGUAGGGAAUUUUCGGCAAUGGGGGCAACCCUGACCGAGCAACGCCGCGUGAGUGAAGACGGCCUUCGGGUUGUAAAGCUCUGUUGUAAGGGAAGAACGGUAGAUAGAGAAUAUCUAAGUGACGGUACCUUACCAGAAAGCCACGGCUAACUACGUG